Molecule: ribosomal RNA, 267 nt
Filed under: uncultured bacterium
Lineage: Bacteria
Description: partial 16S ribosomal RNA
Rfam family: Bacterial small subunit ribosomal RNA
Source: RNAcentral
UAUACCCAGUGGCGGACGGGUGAGUAACGCGUGGGCAACCUGCCCCGUGCCGGGGGAUACCGCCUGGAAACAGGCGCUAAUACCGCAUAAGCGCAUACAGCCGCAUGGGUGUAUGCGGAAAGCUCCGGCGGCACGGGAUGGGCCCGCGCCCGAUUAGCCAGUUGGCGGGGUAACGGCCCACCAAAGCGACGAUCGGUAGCCGGCCUGAGAGGGCGGACGGCCACAUUGGGACUGAGACACGGCCCAAACUCCUACGGAAGGCAGCAG